CCAGACUGAAAAUCGCCCCCACAGCAUCAGUCAGUGGGGUUGAGAUACCUGUGGCCCACAGUAUAGCGGCUCAUCAAAGCUUAUUGCCAGCGCCAUGUGGCUGGGCAAUCAAACCCAUGGGCCCACACAC
Molecule: small nucleolar RNA, 130 nt
Organism: Engraulis encrasicolus (European anchovy)
Lineage: Eukaryota; Metazoa; Chordata; Actinopteri; Clupeiformes; Engraulidae
Product: small nucleolar RNA ACA64
Exons: 1
Source: RefSeq, a predicted model, not a curated record